This 468-nucleotide ribosomal RNA is filed under the name uncultured bacterium. RNAcentral describes it as "partial 16S ribosomal RNA". It matches the Rfam family "Bacterial small subunit ribosomal RNA", at positions 28 to 507 of the family's 1533-position model. The record is from RNAcentral.
GACGAACGCUGGCGGCGUGCUUAACACAUGCAAGUCGAACGGAAAGGCCCUGCUUUUGUGGGGUGCUCGAGUGGCGAACGGGUGAGUAACACGUGAGUAACCUGCCCUUGACUUUGGGAUAACUUCAGGAAACUGGGGCUAAUACCGGAUAGGAGCUCCUGCUGCAUGGUGGGGGUUGGAAAGUUUCGGCGGUUGGGGAUGGACUCGCGGCUUAUCAGCUUGUUGGUGGGGUAGUGGCUUACCAAGGCUUUGACGGGUAGCCGGCCUGAGAGGGUGACCGGCCACAUUGGGACUGAGAUACGGCCCAGACUCCUACGGGAGGCAGCAGUGGGGAAUAUUGCACAAUGGGCGGAAGCCUGAUGAGGCAACGCCGCGUGCGGGAUGACGGCCUUCGGGUUGUAAACCGCUUUCGCCUGUGACGAAGCGUGAGUGACGGUAAUGGGUAAAGAAGCACCGGCUAACUACGUG